This 433-nucleotide ribosomal RNA is filed under the name uncultured bacterium. RNAcentral describes it as "partial 16S ribosomal RNA". It matches the Rfam family "Bacterial small subunit ribosomal RNA", at positions 29 to 507 of the family's 1533-position model. The record is from RNAcentral.
AACGAACGCUGGCGGCAGGCCUAACACAUGCAAGUCGAGCGAGGACUUCGGUUCUAGCGGCGGACGGGUGAGUAACGCGUGGGAAUGUGCCCUUCUCUACGGAAUAGCCCUGGGAAACUGGGAGUAAUACCGUAUACGCCCUAUUGGGGAAAGAUUUAUCGGAGAAGGAUCAGCCCGCGUUGGAUUAGGUAGUUGGUGGGGUAAUGGCCUACCAAGCCGACGAUCCAUAGCUGGUUUGAGAGGAUGAUCAGCCACACUGGGACUGAGACACGGCCCAGACUCCUACGGGAGGCAGCAGUGGGGAAUCUUAGACAAUGGGGGCAACCCUGAUCUAGCCACGCCGCGUGAGUGAUGAAGGCCUUAGGGUUGUAAAGCUCUUUCAGCUGGGAAGAUAAUGACGGUACCAGCAGAAGAAGCCCCGGCUAACUCCGUG